RNAcentral lists this ribosomal RNA (254 nucleotides) under uncultured bacterium. Its description in RNAcentral is "partial 16S ribosomal RNA". It matches the Rfam family "Bacterial small subunit ribosomal RNA", at positions 524 to 776 of the family's 1533-position model. The record is from RNAcentral.
UACGGGGGGAGCAAGCGUUGUUCGGAUUUACUGGGCGUAAAGGGCGCGUAGGCGGUCAGCACAAGUCAGUUGUGAAAUCUCCGGGCUUAACUCGGAAAGGUCAACUGAUACUGUGCGACUAGAGUGCAGAAGGGGCAACUGGAAUUCUCGGUGUAGCGGUGAAAUGCGUAGAUAUCGAGAGGAACACCUGCGGCGAAGGCGGCGACCUGGGUAGAUACUGACGCUGAGGUGCGAAAGCGUGGGGAGCAAACAGG